CCUACGGGAGGCAGCAGUAGGGAAUUUUCGGCAAUGGGGGGAACCCUGACCGAGCAACGCCGCGUGAACGAAGAAGUUAUUCGUAAUGUAAAGCUCUUUUAACAGGGAAGAAAGAGAAAUUUGACGGUACCUGAAGAAUAAGCCCCGGCUAACUACGUGCCAGCAGCCGCGGUAAUACGUAGGGAGCGAGCGUUAUCCGGAAUUAUUGGGCGUAAAGGGUGCGUAGAUGGCAUAAUAAGUCUUUUGUAAAAAUGCUGGGCUCAACCCAGUAGGGCAAAAGAUACUGCGAAGCUAGAGUAUGAGAGGGGCAAGUGGAACGACAGGUGUAGCGGUGAAAUGCGUAGAUAUAUGUAAGAACACCGGUGGCGAAGGCAGCUUGCUGGGUCGAUACUGACGUUGAGGCACGAAAGCGUGGGGAGCAAACAGGAUUAGAUACCCCUGUAGUC
This 446-nucleotide ribosomal RNA is filed under the name uncultured bacterium. RNAcentral describes it as "partial 16S ribosomal RNA". It matches the Rfam family "Bacterial small subunit ribosomal RNA", at positions 338 to 795 of the family's 1533-position model. The record is from RNAcentral.